GCCCCGGUUGGCAGGGGGAUUUCUCCCGGACGGCGUUUUGAACUCUCUACUGAGGAAACUGACCGGUGACGUCUGGGUCCAGUCGCUCAUGCCGAAGCCCCCCACGAGCGAGACCGGGGCGUGGGGCUUAUGUGACACCCGAGUCUCCUAACUGUACUCGACAAGGUACACAUUCUACAGUAUGCCCCUUUUGACCUGGAUGUUGUCUGGGAAGUCUUGGUCAAAUGAAAGACAAGCCAGAGCAAGGAGCGUCCCAGUCACAGGGGGGAACGGCCCACAGAGGCGGUGGCAGGCAGAGGUGGGGAUCCGUUCCUCUGAGAGGCCCCGUUCCUGCAGACACGCUCUGAAGAUGUCCUGAGCACAGGCCGUCACCCUCUUUUGGAUCUCCAAGAGAACCCGGGCACUGUAACAUACCUCAGAGGUUGCAAGCGCUGUCUUUAACAGCACAGUGAGUCGGGACACAGCAGUGUAAGCCCAUCAUCGGGGGACGUGCCAAAGAAUAUCCGGAAGAGAUCCCUAAAGGAGGACAUUUCUGGAGGUGGGUCUUCAUGGGUGUGCACCAAACAAGGGAUUGCUUAACUUUAUUUUUCCCAAUAAAAUCCUGUUCCUGUUUGGUCUUCA
Long non-coding RNA from Odocoileus virginianus texanus, 621 nucleotides. RefSeq lists it as uncharacterized. The record is from RefSeq and is a predicted model, not a curated record. NCBI's taxonomy places the organism in Eukaryota, Metazoa, Chordata, Mammalia, Artiodactyla, Cervidae.